This 415-nucleotide ribosomal RNA is filed under the name uncultured prokaryote. RNAcentral describes it as "bacterial SSU rRNA". It matches the Rfam family "Bacterial small subunit ribosomal RNA", at positions 355 to 774 of the family's 1533-position model. The record is from RNAcentral.
UGAGGAAUUUUGCGCAAUGGGGGAAGCCCUGACGCAGCAACGCCGCGUGGGCGAUGAAGGCCUUCGGGUCGUAAAGCCCUGUCGGGCGGGAAGAACGUCCCUUCGGGGAGUGACGGUACCGCCAGAGGAAGCACCGGCUAACUCCGUGCCAGCAGCCGCGGUAAUACGGAGGGUGCAAGCGUUAUUCGGACUUACUGGGCGUAAAGGGCGUGCAGGCGGGAGAGCAAGUCUGAGGUGAAAGCCCGGGGCUUAACCCCGGAAGGGCAUUGGAAACUGCUUGUCUUGAGUGCGGGAGAGGAAGGGAGAAUUCCCGGUGUAGAGGUGAAAUUCGUAGAGAUCGGGAGGAACAUCAGUGGCGAAGGCGCCCUUCUGGACAGCAACUGACGCUGAGACGCGAAAGCGUGGGGAGCAAACA